AUGCUAUCAAAGCUAUGUUGUAUGACAAGGGCUAAGCUGAGUAUGAAAUACACUAGUUCUACAGCAAGGAGGCAUAUUCCUUGACUUACUAACAAGUUGCAACCUGUUAGAGGACAACAAUUCUAGAAAAUUAUUGAAGCUCAAGCCAUGGAUCAACCUGACAUUGCCAAGACUAUGGGCAGGUCUAAAGUCAAAAGAGAUAGAGUAGCUAAAGAAGCAAGGAAAAGGAAGGGGGAGUGGAGUCUAUCAAGGAGAGGUAUUGUUAUGACAUGCAGCAAAUGUGGUGAUGAGAACCACAAUGCUAGAGGUUGUUGCAAGAAUGUUGGUAGAGAGGAUUCAAGUAAAGGAAAAGCAAAAGGAUGCCUCAAACAUUGCACCAUCCUCCACACAGCCACCAUAAGACUUUGAUGACUGGUUGGAAGAAUUCUUCAACCACGAUGCUGCAACUGAACCAAUGACACAAGGCUCUUCUCAAGCCACCACACAAGAAUCACAAGCCUAUGGUCCAGAUAUUGGCCAUAAGGAAGAUCCAGUGCUCAGGCCUUUAAUUGUCUCUGAGUCACAGACAAGAUUGAAGGCAAGAAAGCUGCAAGUGAGGCCACCAACUAGUACAAGAAGAAUUCAGUGAGGCCACCAACUUGUGACGCUGACGAACGCAUAGCCUUCUUUGUUAAUGUAAAGGAGGAGAUCAGAGUGAUAGACUAGAUCUCCGUGUUUCUUUUUAAGUAUUUUCUUUAUGAAAUUUCUUUUUGAAUUAAAUGAAAGCAAUCUUGGUUUAGUAUGUGUAUGAAAAUCAGUCUUUGCAAGUGUUUGUGUGAAUGUUUUGAUUAUGAAAUCUAAUGUGAAUGCGUACAAACUUUGGUGCUCUGUUUUAGUAGAUGUGUGGGUUUUCAUGUU
Lycium ferocissimum is the source of this 897-nucleotide long non-coding RNA. RefSeq lists it as uncharacterized. Lineage: Eukaryota; Viridiplantae; Streptophyta; Magnoliopsida; Solanales; Solanaceae. The record is from RefSeq and is a predicted model, not a curated record. The transcript is spliced from 3 exons.